UACGGAGGGGGCUAGCGUUGUUCGGAAUUACUGGGCGUAAAGCGCACGUAGGCGGCUUUGUAAGUUAGAGGUGAAAGCCCGGAGCUCAACUUCGGAAUUGCCUUUAAGACUGCAUCGCUUGAAUCGUGGAGAGGUGAGUGGAAUUCCGAGUGUAGAGGUGAAAUUCGUAGAUAUUCGGAAGAACACCAGUGGCGAAGGCGGCUCACUGGACCGGCAUUGACGCUGAGGCACGAAAGCGUGGGGAGCAAACGGG
This 253-nucleotide ribosomal RNA is filed under the name uncultured bacterium. RNAcentral describes it as "partial 16S ribosomal RNA". It matches the Rfam family "Bacterial small subunit ribosomal RNA", at positions 524 to 776 of the family's 1533-position model. The record is from RNAcentral.